AUCGCUUCUCGGCCUUUUGGCUAAGAUCAAGUGUAGUAUCUGUUCUUAUCAGUUUAAUAUCUGAUGUGUCCUCUAUAUGUGGACUACAUAUUAAGCAGAUUUUUGGCAAGAGGAGCAGAAAUGUGGAGCUUGCUCUCCCUUCUCUCCACGCAUCCACCUAGCAUUGCAGUGCCGCUGGGAACGGUGCUCUCAGU
This is a small nuclear RNA of Limanda limanda (common dab), 194 nucleotides long. RefSeq annotates it as U2 spliceosomal RNA. The record is from RefSeq and is a predicted model, not a curated record. NCBI's taxonomy places the organism in Eukaryota, Metazoa, Chordata, Actinopteri, Pleuronectiformes, Pleuronectidae. The transcript has a single exon.